AGGCUUUGAAGUGUGGACGCCAGUCUGCAUGGAGCCGACCUUGAAAUACCACCCUUUAAUGUUUGAUGUUCUAACGUUGACCCGUAAUCCGGGUUGCGGACAGUGUCUGGUGGGUAGUUUGACUGGGGCGGUCUCCUCCUAAAGAGUAACGGAGGAGCACGAAGGUUGGCUAAUCCUGGUCGGACAUCAGGAGGUUAGUGCAAUGGCAUAAGCCAGCUUGACUGCGAGCGUGACGGCGCGAGCAGGUGCGAAAGCAGGUCAUAGUGAUCCGGUGGUUCUGAAUGGAAGGGCCAUCGCUCAACGGAUAAAAGGUACUCCGGGGAUAACAGGCUGAUACCGCCCAAGAGUUCAUAUCGACGGCGGUGUUUGGCACCUCGAUGUCGGCUCAUCACAUCCUGGGGCUGAAGUAGGUCCCAAGGGUAUGGCUGUUCGCCAUUUAAAGUGGUACGCGAGCUGGGUUUAGAACGUCGUGAGACAGUUCGGUCCCUAUCUGCCGUGGGCGCUGGAGAACUGAGGGGGGCUGCUCCUAGUACGAGAGGACCGGAGUGGACGCAUCACUGGUGUUCGGGUUGUCAUGCCAAUGGCACUGCCCGGUAGCUAAAUGCGGAAGAGAUAAGUGCUGAAAGCAUCUAAGCACGAAACUUGCCCCGAGAUGAGUUCUCCCUGACUCCUUGAGAGUCCUGAAGGAACGUUGAAGACGACGACGUUGAUAGGCCGGGUGUGUAAGCGCAGCGAUGCGUUGAGCUAACCGGUACUAAUGAACCGUGAGG
Molecule: ribosomal RNA, 770 nt
Filed under: Escherichia coli
Lineage: Bacteria; Pseudomonadati; Pseudomonadota; Gammaproteobacteria; Enterobacterales; Enterobacteriaceae
Description: partial 23S ribosomal RNA
Rfam family: Bacterial large subunit ribosomal RNA
Source: RNAcentral